AAGUAAGUCUCUAUGGUAGAGGAGAUUAGCCGAUAACUAAUCUUUAACUUGUUCAACUCAAGUCUUACUUU
RNAcentral lists this transfer RNA (71 nucleotides) under Ophiopholis japonica. Its description in RNAcentral is "tRNA-Ile". The record is from RNAcentral. Lineage: Eukaryota; Metazoa; Echinodermata; Ophiuroidea; Amphilepidida; Ophiactidae.